AAUCUUUGAACAAUUAGUGGAUGGAACUUUAAGGCAGACACGGUGAAACAUUUUCUCCUCUGGGCCUAAUCACUGUGGGGUGACCCCCAAGUUGACCCUUAAUAGACAGAAGCAGGCAUCUGCUGUUUGAAGACUGGAGAAGGAUGACCAAUUCUCCAUGGGGAGAAUAUCUAAAAUGACCCAAACUGCCCACAUCUUCUGGUGGUCCGGAGCAUGGGUAACCUUCUUGCCUGUGUUACGACUCAGCCCAGUGAGUCUUGGCUGGGAUUGAGCGAAGUCACCGGAUCCUGGGUGCAUGAUACUCAUCAGUGAAUGAGUCUGCUGAAGAGUUUACAGCUACAAGUGGUGUUGGGAGAUGAAGCCUGGCUGGAGGAGGCGGUCACUGGUCGUGUGACCUGGAAGGGUCUGUUUUUCUCCCUGUCCCUUGACCACUCUCUGCUUCCUGUUGUGGUACCUUGAGUGCUUUCCCUUCUGCUGUCCCCCUUUGUAUGCUGCCAAACCUUGGAGCCAGUUGAGUAUGGACUGAAACUGCUACCAACUAUAAGCCAAGUUAAACCUUUCCUCCUCAGAGCUGUGGGGGCCAGGUAAUGUGUCUCAGUGAUGAGAAAAGAGUAAAGAUCUAAUGAUACUG
Long non-coding RNA from Cavia porcellus (domestic guinea pig), 631 nucleotides. RefSeq lists it as uncharacterized. Lineage: Eukaryota; Metazoa; Chordata; Mammalia; Rodentia; Caviidae. The record is from RefSeq and is a predicted model, not a curated record. The transcript has 2 exons.